Molecule: long non-coding RNA, 298 nt
Filed under: Gallus gallus (chicken)
Lineage: Eukaryota; Metazoa; Chordata; Aves; Galliformes; Phasianidae
Source: RNAcentral
GACAAAGGAAAGAACAGUUGCACUCAGUUUCCUGGUAGGGACUACAUUCAAGGGGAAUGUGAAAACACAGCAAGCAGACCACUGGAUUAUGCAGUGAACAAAGAAGAGUUGGAAUCAUCAGCAGUGUAUUUUCACCAACAAAGAUGACACUUCAGAUAAUUUGCUCUGCAAACAUUACUGUACUGACUCUGGACUGUAUUACCCAUGCUUACACAUCUACUGUAUUCUUGCUGUGGUACAGCGUUACAUAAUAUAUAAGCUCACCAUGGACUUCAUUGCAACAAGUUGUAUUACAAGC